RNA transcript from Juglans microcarpa x Juglans regia, 2325 nucleotides. It is a transcript of the gene named acetolactate synthase small subunit 1, chloroplastic-like, with no coding region annotated. NCBI's taxonomy places the organism in Eukaryota, Viridiplantae, Streptophyta, Magnoliopsida, Fagales, Juglandaceae. The transcript has 11 exons. The record is from RefSeq and is a predicted model, not a curated record.
GUGCUGAAAGAGGAAAGCACGUGCGAGAAACUGUCAGAACAGACAUUUCUGUAUCCAGUUCAGUGAUUAUGUGGCACCAGCCAUCUAUCCAUGUACGAGUUUCUCGUUCUCUGGCUCUCUUCCCCCCUGCCGCUGUAAAAAGGAAUUACUCAUGGCGGCUGUAUCAUUCUUCCAAGCACCCGUAGGGAACCAGAAGCUGAAGAACCCACCUUUGAGAGUGGAUUUGGGACGUGGGUUUUCGAGAAGCUUGGGUUUUGGUCAUAUGAGACCAACCAAAUGGCGGACUUUUGAGCUCAACAAGCUAGCGGUCUGUGUUGAUAGCAAUGACAUCGCAGCGUCUCGGAGCGAGUCCACACCUCCCCUGACUCGGGUGAAACGCCAUACAAUUUCAGUCUUUGUUGGGGAUGAGAGUGGAAUAAUAAAUCGGAUUGCUGGGGUGUUUGCUAGGAGGGGCUACAACAUUGAGUCCCUUGCAGUUGGUCUGAACAAGGACAAGGCUCUUUUUACCAUAGUGGUCUUGGGAACCGAGAAGGUUUUGAGACAAGUCAUUGCACAACUGAACAAGCUUGUGAACGUCAUUAAGGUUCAAGACAUCUCAAGGGAGCCACAAGUAGAACGUGAACUGAUGCUUAUAAAACUUAAUUCAGAUCUGAAUACCCGUGCUGAGAUCAUGUCAUUAGUAGACAUCUUCAGAGCAAAAAUUGUUGAUAUCUCAGAAGAUUCGCUGACUAUUGAGGUCACUGGGGACCCUGGGAAGAUGGUUGCUAUUCAAAGAAACUUAAGCAAAUUCGGAAUCAAAGAACUUGCAAGAACUGGAAAGAUUGCAUUGCGACGAGAAAAGAUGGGUGAAACUGCUCCAUUCUGGGGAUUCAGUGCAGCUUCCUAUCCAGAUCUUGAACCACCACCUCCUGUUAAUGUUCUUGAAGAGAAAGCAGGUCAAUCACUAUAUCGUGAUGUCCGUAUAUUCUCAGGUGGUGAUGUUUAUCCUGUGGAGCCAUUCGACGACUUGAUGAGGAAACAAGUUCUUGAUGCUCACUGGGGCAUUGUCUAUGGUGAUGAUUCUAGUGAGCUUCAGUCGCACACAUUGUCUAUGCUUGUGAAUGACUGCCCUGGAGUUCUGAACAUGGUUACUGGAGUUAUUUCUCGAAGAGGUUAUAACAUUCAGAGUUUAGCUGUGGGGCCAGCUGAAAAAGAUGGGCUUUCCCGCAUCACAACUGUUGUUCCUGGGACUGAUGAGUCAAUUGGCCAGUUGGUUCAACAACUUCACAAGUUAAUAGAUCUUCAUGAGGUGGUCCUUUCUUCAGGUUCGGGAUAUCACUCACUUGCCAUUUGCAGAGAGAGAACUUAUGCUGAUAAAGAUUUCUGUGAAUAACACUGCUAGGAGGGAUGUCCUUGAUAUCGCCAGCAUUUUCCGGGCCAAAGCUGUUGAUGUGUCUGAUCACACCAUUACACUCGAGGAUGACUUUGAUGGUCUUUGAGAAACACACCUUCAAAUGUUGGAGCAUUUCAGAGUCAAUCAGCAUUGACAAACACCUUUAGCCAGACUCGUGAACUUUCGAAAUUCAACAUUGGCUCAACUUCAUCCAUGAUCCUUGCAUUCAUUCUAGUUUCUUUAAGAUGAAUGUUUUGUUAACUUUUGAACUUCAGCAUCAGUUCGACUUCAUCCAUGAUCUACACUGCUUUGCACUCAUUCCAGUUUCUUUAAGAUAAGAUUUUUGGAAAGUAGUUUCUUUAAUAUGAAAUUAGGGACUUAACAUUAUCAAUUAAAUUGAUGGAUGCUUUAUAACCUCAAUUUGGUGAUGAACACAAUCACAAUUAUAGCUGAAGAUGAUAGCAGUGGGGUAUUGUAGGAUUCUUAUACAAAUAGUAAGUUUCAAAAGCCUUAAUGCCACCUUCAUAGUCCUCAUUCCUAAAAAGAAGUCAGAGAUGUGGAUGUUAAUGUCUAUCACCCCAUUAAUCUGGUGAAUAGAGUGUAUAAGAUAAUUUCUGGAGUCCCUGCUAAUUGAUUGAGUAGGGUUCUUGAGAAGAUUAUUUCAAAGUCUCAAAAUGCACUUGUCGAAGGUGGAACAAAUUCUAGAUUCUUUGCUUAUUUAUAAUGAAUGUUUGGAUAGUACGCUCAUCUUAGGUGAGCCUGAGCUUCUUUGCAAAUUAGAUAUUGGGAAGACCUAUGAGUUUCUUUAUCAUUUGUUGGGGGAUGCAGUUUUGGGGAGAAAUGGCUAUCUUGGAUAGCACAUUAUAUAUCUUCAGUUUGCUUUUCUAUAUUGGUGAAUAGCAUUCUCACUGGCUUCUAUAGUAGCUCUUGUGGUUGAGACAAGAGCGAUCCAU